Oncorhynchus tshawytscha (Chinook salmon) is the source of this 585-nucleotide long non-coding RNA. RefSeq lists it as uncharacterized. The record is from RefSeq and is a predicted model, not a curated record. NCBI's taxonomy places the organism in Eukaryota, Metazoa, Chordata, Actinopteri, Salmoniformes, Salmonidae. The transcript is spliced from 4 exons.
CAUCCUCUUCAAUUUUUCAAGUCACCAGCCUCUGCUGCUCUAUAUUCAUUAGUGUCUGGAGCCAAAUUCUAACCCGGUGCCACUAAGGGGAGCGACCUUUGCUGCUCACCAUGAGACAGGCAGCAUUUACCAGUCCAAAGAAACAGGAACCCCAAACAGUAUUUCUGAAGUGCUAGAGAAAAUCCACCCAGAUGAGAAUCUGUGGUCUAACGCAUGCCUGGAGUCACAAUGGAAGUUCGAGCCAGGACAUAGCCUACCAAGCUUUUAACAGGGAGCCAGAGGCAUCCUCUCUCUAACUUGUAGCCGCCUCCAACUUCAUUUUAGAGAAUUUGGCAGUAUAUCCAACCGGCCACACAACUGCAGACCAAGUGUAACCACGCCAGCCCAGGACCUCGACAUCUAUUUUCUUCACCUGCGGGAUCGUCUGAGACCAGCCACCCGGACAGCUGAUGAAACUGAGAAGUAUUUCUGUCUGUAAUAAAGCCCAUUUUCUGGGGGAAAAUUAAUUCUGAUUGGACUGGGCCUGGCUCCCAAGUGGGUGGGCCUCAUGGCUGUGCCCCUGCCCAGUAAUGUGAAAUCCAUAGA